Molecule: unclassified non-coding RNA, 429 nt
Filed under: Ronabea emetica
Lineage: Eukaryota; Viridiplantae; Streptophyta; Magnoliopsida; Gentianales; Rubiaceae
Description: partial external transcribed spacer
Source: RNAcentral
UAGCAUUCCUCAACGACAAUGGCCGACGGAGCACGCGAAUGCCACCGUCCGACGUCGUUCGAUUGAGGCGAAUAUCGCUAGCAACGGGCGUGGACGAGCAGUUAACUCGGUACCCGCACGCGUAUUCCGCACCCGAGAGCCCGAGCGAGAAUUCGUCGACCGCGACGACAACGUUUGCUAUCCGUGUCGAGCGGGACACAAAUGACGCUUCGCGGUUCACCCGAUGCCGUGCCCGGAGAAAAACGGGCCGACACUAGGCGAAAGAGGGGCAAAUCGACAACCCGAUUCCGUCAAGUAGGUAUGCAACACAAGAAACCAACGCAACCGUGCGGCCAAGGCGAGCGUCGCACUUGUACCGACAAUUGAAAAGUAUCGCGUGGCCGGACGUCCCCGCCCCGAGCAAAGAUCCGACCGAACCGUGCCAUCCAA